UACAGAGGUGGCAAGCGUUGUUCGGAAUUACUGGGCGUAAAGGGCGCGUAGGCGGUCAGGUCAGUCCCGUGUGAAAUCCCUCGGCUCAACUGAGGAACUGCACGGGAAACUACCUGGCUUGAGUUCGGGAGAGGGAAGCGGAAUUCCGGGUGUAGCGGUGAAAUGCGUAGAUAUCCGGAGGAACACCGGUGGCGAAGGCGGCUUCCUGGACCAACACUGACGCUGAGGCGCGAAAGCUAGGGGAGCAAACGGG
This 253-nucleotide ribosomal RNA is filed under the name uncultured bacterium. RNAcentral's name for it is "partial 16S ribosomal RNA". It matches the Rfam family "Bacterial small subunit ribosomal RNA", at positions 524 to 776 of the family's 1533-position model. The record is from RNAcentral.